This is a non-coding RNA of Plutella xylostella (diamondback moth), 3146 nucleotides long. Lineage: Eukaryota; Metazoa; Arthropoda; Insecta; Lepidoptera; Plutellidae. The record is from RefSeq and is a predicted model, not a curated record.
AAAGGGCAACAUAGUGUGGUUCUUAUGGCAAUUGUUAAUGCAAAAAACCAAUUUAUUUAUAUAGACGUUGGCAUGAAUGGCAGAAUAUCCGAUGGAGGGGUUCUACAAAACACUAUUUUUUUUUUUAAAAUUAGAAAAUAGUGAUUUACAUAUUCCAAGCAGUGAAUUGUUAACAGGAAGUAACCGAAAUUUACCAUAUGUAUUUGUGGCAGAUGACGCGUUCCCAUUACGCCCCGAUAUGAUAAAACCGUUUCGACAGGCAGAUUUAACAUAACAAGAAAGAAGAAUCCUGAAUUACAGAUUAUCUCGCGCGAGACGGACUGUUGAAAACGCUUUCGGGAUAAUGGCAUCAAGAUUUCGGAUAUUUUAUACUCAUAUAAAUUUAGAAACCGAAAAUAUUGAUAAAGUAGUGAAAGCAUCUUGUGUAUUACAUAACUUUUUAAUUGAACACUCAAAAAAGUCUUAUGCACCUCAAAAAUGUUUUUAUCGAGAAAACUCUGAAAAGGGACCAUAAUAUCUGAAGGAUACAGUACACAAAAUAGCACCAUGGAAAACUUGGAAAGAAGAAACCCAGGAAAUACUUUGAACAACGCGAAGAUAGUCUGAAACAAUUUUUUGAAUUAUUUCAAUCAGGAUGGAAGGGUACAUAUGGCAAAAUGAUCAUGUAAAUUAAAUAAUACCUAAGGCUGAACGGGCAGAGUAGGUACAUAGUUCUAAAUAGUUAUAGUUAGAAAUAAUUAUGUUAUUAUUAUAUUACUUAAUUAAAAAAAAAUACUACAAAUUAUGAAAUAUUUUACUUACCUCACAACUAUUUUCGUCAUCACUAUCUAAGUUGGAUGAAGAUUCCCUUGGAGUGCAUUGAUCAUGAAUGAAAUUGAACAAAUCGUAGUACCACAGUUUAAUUAAUACGAUACACAUCAUCAGCAGAUGCCCCAGACUUUAAAGAUUGCUCAUAUUUCUUCGUUUCCUUUCUAACAUUGCUUCUUAGGUUAUUGAUCUUUUUCACAACUACAUCUUUGUUCGCAUCUGGCUCAAUUAUUCUCAACUAGCUGUUCCCGCACGCUUCGCUUCGCCUUAAAAAGUUUUCCCGUGGGAAUUCCGGGAUAAAAAGUAGCCUAUGUUCUUACUUACUUACAGACAGACAGACACAGUUACUUUCGCAUUUAUAAUAUUAGUUAGGAUUUUUCUAUGAGUAAUUUAUAAGCAGCUUCUUUUUUGUCUCGAUUAUGGUAAUCUUUGUUUUUAAUUUGCCAUAGACAUGGAUUACUUCUAUAAAUUUCAAUAAAAUCUUCAAGAAUUUUUUUAGUUGAAUCUGGUGGCGCCAUUUUCUGGCAAUACGAUGCGAGCGAUGAGACGCCCGUUUGAAAGAAACACUAGAAAACAACUGACGCGACCUGCGCAGGCGACCGGAGUACACGCACACACGCACAGGUACACCGUACUGUGUCACUCGAAAGAAUCGAUUUUCGAUCUUGCGCUGGUUGCCUGCGCAGGGGGCCUACUCGGUAACGCGAAAAUCGAAAUAACGUUCAACGUUCGGGCCAUUUCGCACUCUGUAGGGAGAGUUUUACGCACGAACGAACGAAACAACGAAGUUUCGAUUUUCUAUACAAAAUGGUACUCCGAACUGCAAUGUCAAACACGUAAUAUUAUAGGUUAACUGGUAGAAAAUGCUGCUAGCAUUAAGUUCGCCUUUGUACCAAUUUACUUUGUGCAAUAAAGAAUUUAAUAAUAUUGAGUUUGACAGCUCAUUUACUGUCAGUUUUACUUCAAAUUUCACGUCUACACAAGAGGUAACGUGGAGAUAUUCGUUUUGCUGUAAUUGCUGAAAAUAACAUAAAGAAUGGCUAGGUAUUUGCUGAUGCAAGAAAUUCUGCGGGACGAGAGAAGGAAAAGGCGAGAGGCCCUAAGAAGAAACUUCCGCUUGCACACAAUUCCCGACUCUGAAUUCGUAAAUAACUACCGUCUGAGUCGGGAAUUGUUCCAAACGGUGUGUGAAGAGAUUGUCCCGUUUCUUCCUCCAAGGAUACGACACCGGGGUAUUGAUCCCAUAAUGAAGGUAAAACUCAACAAGUAUCUUAUUUUCAUAUUACCUUUAACCAUAAAAAUCAGACGAUAAAUAACGUAAAUAUCAGACAAUGAUAAAACAUAACUGACUUAACAUAAUUUCCGGAUUUAUUUCAGAUUUUGGUAGUAUUAAACUUCUAUGCAAGGGGUAGUUAUCAAGGUGCCGUAGGCCUCAACAGCGAUGUACCCAUGGCACAGCAAACUAUGUCUAGGUGCAUCCAUGAGGUCACGGAUGCCUUGAAUCGAGCUGAGAUUUUGAGGAAGUACAUUCGCUUCCCACAAAAUAGGGAAGAAAGGAAUGUCAUCAAACAAAAGUAAGACAAAAUUUGAUUUACAGUUACUUAGACCUACAAUUAUUGCAAAAAACAAUCUAUUUAAUAGAUUUAUAUUUCAGAUUUUCCGAUAGAUAUGGUAUACCGGGGGUAUGUGGCUGCAUAGACUGCACCCACAUUAAAAUAAUAAGGCCCGCUGAGCAUGAAGAGCGGUGCUUUAAUAGGAAACAUUGGCAUUCCAUUAACUGCCAAGUGGUGACUCAGGGUAUCCUCUCCGGUCAUUCAUGAUGACUCCAGUGGACCAUGCAGUAGACGACUCAACUGAAGGGCGCUACAAUAUAAUUCAGAAACGUGCCCGUUCCACUGUAGAGCGCACAUUUGGAAUACUAAAAGGGAGAUGGAGAUGCUUAUUAGCCGCCAGAGAAUUACAUUACACUCCUGAGACCGCUGGCAAAAUUGCAAUUGCAUGCAGUGUAUUGCACAACAUGUGCAUACAUGCUCGGCUCGACCAUCCUGAAUUAGCAGAGGAGGACCUCGCAGCUGAGAACGCCCUGCCUAUUCCCCAGCAAGCUGCAAUUCCACAAGGACGGGCAUUGGAGGAAGGAAGAAGAGUACGCAGAGUACUAAUAAAUUUAUUAGAGGCAUAAUAUGCCCCCGGCUUUGUAUGGAUAUACUUAUAUAAGACAAAACAAUCCUUAUUGUGAGGUUGUAGAAGAGAUUAGUAAUACGGCCGCUGAUUGUACUAUUUCUUUUCUAUGUUUGUGAAACUGUUUCUGUUUGUGUGCAAUAAAGAGUAUUUUAUCUUUA